UAUUCAAUCAAAUAGAUAUUAAUGGUGGGCUAAAAGGAAACAUCCAAAACCGUAAAGCUAUCUAAAAAAAAAAUUCAACCAUUUUGUUCGCUACGUUGUGUCAUAUUCCUCUUAAAAAUAUUGAAAUAUUUGUCGAUAAAUUUGGUGAUAAUUUUUAUUAAUAUAGUGUAUUCAUCAUGUGUAGUAAAUCUGAUAACUAUAAUGAAGAUUUAUUUGAUUACAUUAGAGUAAGUGAAGAUGAGGAUGAUUCUAAUGCCGUGGAAAUUCCUUGUGAAAUGGAUGGCACUUUACUUUUGUCAACGCUUGUAGCGCAAUUCCCCGGAGCAUGUGGUUUAAAAUAUCGUCACCCUGAUAGUAAAUCUGUUCGAGGUAUUCGUUUAAGUGAUGGAAAGCUUCACCCCCCUAGUGAAGUUGGAUGGGGAAAACAUCUAUAUAUUUGCGUUUUUCCUAAAGAAAAUAAACGUAAAAUGGAGGACGUAUCUCCUGAAAAUUCAGCAGCAAAAACCAAGCGACUGGAAAAGAAACUUACGUGCUCUGAUUUAAUAUGCCUAGGUCUACCUUGGAAAUCAACUGAAGAGUCAAUAAAACAAUACUUUGAACAGUUUGGUGAAGUUGUAAUGGUUCAACUAAAAAAAGAUAAAAAUGGCACUUUUAAAGGCUUUGGAUUCAUUCGCUUUGCUACUUAUGCUUCACAAAUGAGAGCUCUUGCACAAAGACACAAUAUUGAUGGUCGUUGGGUGGAUGUACGUAUCCCAAAUUCCAAGGAAGGUGUGGUACCACAAAUGCCCUGCAAAGUUUUUGUGGGAAGAUGUACUGAAGAUAUGACUGCAGAUGACCUCCGUGAUUAUUUUUCAAAGUUUGGGGAAGUGACUGAUGUGUUUGUUCCUCGACCAUUUCGGGCGUUUGGUUUUGUUACAUUCCUAGAUCCUGAAGUUGCACAGAGUCUAUGUGGAGAGGAUCAUGUUAUUAAAGGAGCAUCUGUAUCAGUAUCUAGUGCUGCACCAAAGAUUAAAAGUAAAUCUAACCAAAACUGGAAAGAUGAUUCAUAUGGAUCUAAUAAUUGGGACGGAAAUAGAUCAAGUUCUUCUGGGGGACCAAAUAGCACCAGUGGGAGCAGUAAUAUUGACUCACUUAAUAUGCAAAAUCUUGGAAUCAAUCCAAAUGGAGGUCCACCAAAUAAUUUUAAUUUGCCUAUAAGUCUUGUUGCUGCAGCACUAAACCAAGCUGGUUGGGGUGGUUUUCUUGGUGGUCCAGGUAAUUCUGGUCCUAAUAAUUGGCAAGGUGGUCCACCCCAAGGCAAUAAUUCUGGAAAAAACUGGAAUAGCAACCAAAACUGGGGCCAAAAUGGCCCACCUCCAUCAUGGAAUCAAGGAGGUGGUAGUGGCCAAGGAUGGAAUGGAGGAGGCAAAAGUGGCAAUUGGAAUCAAGGAAAUUGGUCAAGUGGUCAAGGCAGUUGGAAUGGUAAUGGUGGUGGUGGUGGUAGCUCUGGCUCUGGCAACGGAUGGAAUAAUAAGCCACAGACAUGAGUGUGUCGACCUGUGUGUGUGUCAUGCAAGAUGUGACUGCUUCAUUCAAACAAUGAGGUGAACUGUAACCUGCCUGGUGCCUGGCUGCCUGUGCAAGUGGAUUGUACCUGAUGCUAGCUGCGAUCCAGGGUGAUAGCAAUGUGGAUGACAAUCAAGAAUGCUAUUAUGAAGCAGUGUGAAUAUGUAGUAAAGUGGUGCAUAGAAGGCUUACACACUGUAAUGAAUACAGUUCAUGAAAAGAAGUCAUAGGAGUGAUACAAAGAUAACAGGAUCUGGGUGCCUUCUUUUUUUUACAAUGGUCUAAAUUGUAAAGAAGAAUAGAGAGAGAGAGAGAGACACAUUAUAGAAAAAGGAAAAAAAGUGAUUAUGUUAUAAUUACUAUUAAUCUUGUGAGGGUGCCACCCUUUGGUAUCAAGAACUUCUAGGUCGCCUUCAUUGUACACAACCUUUAAUCUAGCUUACUGGAUGACAGCUAUAUAUACCCUUACAAGCAUGAACCAAGCAAGUGACAAACAUUUUUAGAAGAUCCUAACAUGAGUUUGAAACUCGGGAGGUUGGGAUUAGGAUUCCAUCUUUAGACUUCUGGACCAUGAUCAAGCACUGAGAUGUCACCACUCUCAGUAUGAUUAUGAAGCAUAUUAAAUUGUUUUUUUGUAGUCUGGGCAAAGUAUAUAAAAAUAUAAUCUUUAGUGUUUUUUUUAAAUCA
RNA transcript from Galleria mellonella (greater wax moth), 2232 nucleotides. It is a transcript of the gene named TAR DNA-binding protein 43-like, with no coding region annotated. The transcript has 5 exons. The record is from RefSeq and is a predicted model, not a curated record. NCBI's taxonomy places the organism in Eukaryota, Metazoa, Arthropoda, Insecta, Lepidoptera, Pyralidae.